Molecule: ribosomal RNA, 250 nt
Filed under: uncultured Desulfovibrio sp.
Lineage: Bacteria; Pseudomonadati; Thermodesulfobacteriota; Desulfovibrionia; Desulfovibrionales; Desulfovibrionaceae
Description: partial 16S ribosomal RNA
Rfam family: Bacterial small subunit ribosomal RNA
Source: RNAcentral
UACGGAGGGUGCAAGCGUUAAUCGGAAUCACUGGGCGUAAAGCGCUCGUAGGCUGUUUGGUAAGUCAGACGUGAAAGCCCUCGGCUUAACCGGGGAACUGCGUUUGAUACUGCCAGACUUGAGUGUCGGAGAGGGUGGCGGAAUUCCGGGUGUAGGAGUGAAAUCCGUAGAUAUCCGGAGGAACACCAGUGGCGAAGGCGGCCACCUGGACGACAACUGACGCUGAGGAGCGAAAGCGUGGGGAGCAAAC